This 440-nucleotide ribosomal RNA is filed under the name uncultured bacterium. RNAcentral describes it as "partial 16S ribosomal RNA". It matches the Rfam family "Bacterial small subunit ribosomal RNA", at positions 338 to 795 of the family's 1533-position model. The record is from RNAcentral.
CCUACGGGUGGCAGCAGUGGGGAAUAUUGCACAAUGGGGGAAACCCUGAUGCAGCGACGCCGCGUGAGUGAAGAAGUAAUUCGUUACGUAAAGCUCUAUCAGCAGGGAAGAAAAUGACGGUACAUGAGUAAGAAGCUCAGGCUAACUACGUGCCAGCAGCCGCGGUAAUCCGGAGGGGGCAGGCGUUCUCAGGAUUUACUGGGUGUAAAGGGGGCGUAGACGGUGAGCCACGUCUGGAGUGAAAUGCCGCAGGUUAACUGCGGAACUGCUAUGGAAACUGGCGAACUAGAGUGCGGUAGGGGUAAGCGGAAUGCCUGGUGUAGCGGUGAAAUGCAUAGAUAUUAGGAGGAACACCGAUUGCGAAGGCAGCUUACUAGACCGUAACUGACGUUGAAGCACGAAAGCGUGGGGAGCAAACAGGAUUAGAUACCCGUGUAGUC